UACGGAGGAUGCGAGCGUUAUCCGGAUUUAUUGGGUUUAAAGGGUGCGUAGGCGGACGCUUAAGUCAGCGGUAAAAUUGCGGGGCUCAACCUCGUCGAGCCGUUGAAACUGGGUGUCUUGAGUGGGCGAGAAGUAGGCGGAAUGCGUGGUGUAGCGGUGAAAUGCAUAGAUAUCACGCAGAACUCCGAUUGCGAAGGCAGCGUACCGGCGCCCAACUGACGCUGAAGCACGAAGGCGUGGGUAUCGAACAGG
Molecule: ribosomal RNA, 252 nt
Filed under: uncultured bacterium
Lineage: Bacteria
Description: partial 16S ribosomal RNA
Rfam family: Bacterial small subunit ribosomal RNA
Source: RNAcentral